RNAcentral lists this transfer RNA (65 nucleotides) under Pseudochauhanea macrorchis. Its description in RNAcentral is "tRNA-Pro". The record is from RNAcentral. Lineage: Eukaryota; Metazoa; Platyhelminthes; Monogenea; Mazocraeidea; Chauhaneidae.
UAGAAUAUAUUUUAUUUAGAAUAUUUGUUUUGGGGACAAAAGGUCUUAUUAUUUAAGUUUUCUAA